AUCUCCCGCUUGCGGGGGUGAUUAGUGGCGAACGGGUGAGUAAUACGUGAGUAACCUGCCCUUGACUCUGGGAUAAGCCUGGGAAACCGGGUCUAAUACUGGAUACGACCCCCUGUCGCAUGGUGGGGGGUGGAAAGGGUUUGACUGGUUUUGGAUGGGCUCACGGCCUAUCAGCUUGUUGGUGGGGUAAUGGCUCACCAAGGCGACGACGGGUAGCCGGCCUGAGAGGGUGACCGGCCACACUGGGACUGAGACACGGCCCAGACUCCUACGGGAGGCAGCAGUGGGGAAUAUUGCACAAUGGGCGGAAGCCUGAUGCAGCGACGCCGCGUGAGGGAUGACGGCCUUCGGGUUGUAAACCUCUUUCAGCAGGGAAGAAGCCACAAGUGACGGUACCUGCAGAAGAAGCGCCGGCUAACUACGUGCCAGCAGCCGCGGUAAUACGUAGGGCGCAAGCGUUGUCCGGAAUUAUUGGGCGUAAAGAGCUCGUAGGCGGUUUGUCGCGUCUGCUGUGAAAGCCCGGGGCUCAACCCCGGGUCUGCAGUGGGUACGGGCAGACUAGAGUGCAGUAGGGGAGACUGGAAUUCCUGGUGUAGCGGUGAAAUGCGCAGAUAUCAGGAGGAACACCGAUGGCGAAGGCAGGUCUCUGGGCUGUUACUGACGCUGAGGAGCGAAAGCAUGGGGAGCGAACAGGAUUAGAUACCCUGGUAGUCCAUGCCGUAAACGUUGGGCACUAGGUGUGGGGGACAUUCCACGUUCUCCGCG
Molecule: ribosomal RNA, 765 nt
Filed under: Kocuria sp.
Lineage: Bacteria; Bacillati; Actinomycetota; Actinomycetes; Micrococcales; Micrococcaceae
Description: bacterial SSU rRNA
Rfam family: Bacterial small subunit ribosomal RNA
Source: RNAcentral